GCAGGAGUGGUAUGGUGCCUGCCAGACCUUCUAGGAGCAGGCAGAUGGCCAGGGGAAGCACAGUUUGGAAUAGGGUUAGACAAAGGUAAUGUGUUAGAGGAGGUGAAUCCUGAUGUGAAGCAGAGGUAGGGAAGGAAGGAGAAAGAACAGGUGAAGGAAAAAGGGAGGAAGGUGGAGGAUCAGGAGGAUCAGGAGUAGUGGAUGGUGGAACAAGGACAUCAUUAG
Molecule: long non-coding RNA, 225 nt
Filed under: Nicotiana benthamiana
Lineage: Eukaryota; Viridiplantae; Streptophyta; Magnoliopsida; Solanales; Solanaceae
Description: long non-coding RNA (NBEN_LNC000745)
Source: RNAcentral